UAGAGUUUGAUCCUGGCUCAGGAUGAACGCUGGCGGCGUGCCUAAUACAUGCAAGUCGAGCGGUAAGGCUCUCACAGUUUGCUUGAUCAAGAUUUAUCCGUAGACAUCACCGGCUGGUGAUGAAAACGGCCAAAUCGUUUGAGAUGGAGCAAAGUGUGAGAGUACACGAGCGGCGGACGGCUGAGUAACGCGUAGGAACGUACCCCAAAGUGAGGGAUAAGCUCCAGAAAUGGAGUCUAAUACCGCAUGUGAUCUUCGGAUUAAAGCUUUAUGCGCUUUGGGAGCGGCCUGCGUCUGAUUAGAUUGUUGGUGAGGUAAAGGCUCACCAAGUCGACGAUCAGUAGCUGGUCUGAGAGGAUGAUCAGCCAGACUGGAACUGAGACACGGUCCAGACUCCUACGGGAGGCAGCAGUAAGGAAUCUUCCACAAUGGGGGCAACCCUGAUGGAGCAACGCCGCGUGCAGGAUGAAGGCCUUCGGGUCGUAAACUGCUUUUGUUAGCGAAGAAUAUGACGGUAACUAACGAAUAAGGGUCGGCUAACUACGUGCCAGCAGCCGCGGUCAUACGUAGGACCCAAGCGUUAUCCGGAGUGACUGGGCGUAAAGAGUUGCGUAGGCGGCUUAUUAAGUGAGUAGUGAAAUCGUGUGGCUCAACCAUUACGGCUAUUACUCAAACUGGUAAGCUCGAGAAUGGUAGAGGUAGCUGGAAUUUCUAGUGUAGGAGUGAAAUCCGUAGAUAUUAGAAGGAACACCAAUGGCGUAGGCAGGCUACUGGACCAUUUCUGACGCUGAGGCACGAAAGCGUGGGGAGCGAACCGGAUUAGAUACCCGGGUAGUCCACGCCGUAAACGAUGGAUGCUAGCUGUGGGGGGUAUCGACCCCCUCCGUAGCGAAGCUAACGCGUUAAGCAUCCCGCCUGUGGAGUACGGUCGCAAGACUAAAACAUAAAGGAAUUGACGGGGACCCGCACAAGCGGUGGAGCGUGUUCUUUAAUUCGAUGAUAAACGAAGAACCUUACCAGGGUUUGACAUCCUUGGAAUUACUGCGAAAGCAGUGAGUGCCCUUGGGAACCAAGUGACAGCUGUUGCAUGGCCGUCGUCAGCUCGUGUCGUGAGAUGUUUGGUUAAGUCCAUUAACGAGCGCAACCCUUAUAGUUAGUUGAAUUUUUCUAGCUAGACUGCCCCGGUAACGGGGAGGAAGGAGGGGAUGAUGUCAGGUCAGUAUUACGCUUACAUCCUGGGCUAGAAACGCGCUACAAUGGCCGGUACAACGGGAAGCCAACCCGCAAGGGGGAGCAAAUCCCAUCAAAACCGGUCUCAGUUCGGAUUGCAGGCUGAAACUCGCCUGCAUGAAGUUGGAAUCGCUAGUAAUCGCAAGUCAGCACAUUGCGGUGAAUACGUUCCCGGGUCUUGUACACACCGCCCGUCAAACCAUGAAAGUGACCAACACCCGAAGUCCGAUUCGUCGGCCUAAGGUGGGGGGCAUGAUUGGGGUUAAGUCGUAACAAGGUAAC
Molecule: ribosomal RNA, 1512 nt
Filed under: uncultured Candidatus Saccharibacteria bacterium
Lineage: Bacteria; Candidatus Saccharimonadota
Description: bacterial SSU rRNA
Rfam family: Bacterial small subunit ribosomal RNA
Source: RNAcentral